UACGUAGGUGGCAAGCGUUGUCCGGAAUUAUUGGGCGUAAAGCGCGCGCAGGCGGUCCUUUAAGUCUGAUGUGAAAGCCCACGGCUCAACCGUGGAGGGUCAUUGGAAACUGGGGGACUUGAGUGCAGGAGAGAAGAGUGGAAUUCCACGUGUAGCGGUGAAAUGCGUAGAGAUGUGGAGGAACACCGGUGGCGAAGGCGGCAUCCUGGACCGACAUUGACGCUGAACGGCGAAAGCUAGGGGAGCAAACGGG
This 253-nucleotide ribosomal RNA is filed under the name uncultured bacterium. RNAcentral's name for it is "partial 16S ribosomal RNA". It matches the Rfam family "Bacterial small subunit ribosomal RNA", at positions 524 to 776 of the family's 1533-position model. The record is from RNAcentral.